RNAcentral lists this ribosomal RNA (246 nucleotides) under uncultured bacterium. RNAcentral describes it as "partial small subunit ribosomal RNA". It matches the Rfam family "Bacterial small subunit ribosomal RNA", at positions 26 to 285 of the family's 1533-position model. The record is from RNAcentral.
AGAAUCAACGCUGGCGGCGUGCCUAACACAUGCAAGUCGCACGAGAAAGGGGAGCAAUCCCUGAGUAAAGUGGCGCACGGGUGAGUAACACGUGAAUCAUCUACCUCCGAGUGGGGAAUAAACUGAGAGAAAUCUUAGCUAAUACCGCAUAACACUUACGAGUCAAAGCAGCAAUGCGCUUGGAGAGGAGUUCGCGGCAGAUUAGUUAGUUGGCGGGGUAAUGGCCCACCAAGACGAUGAUCUGUA